This 912-nucleotide ribosomal RNA is filed under the name Bacillus inaquosorum. RNAcentral describes it as "bacterial SSU rRNA". It matches the Rfam family "Bacterial small subunit ribosomal RNA", at positions 93 to 1182 of the family's 1533-position model. The record is from RNAcentral. Lineage: Bacteria; Bacillati; Bacillota; Bacilli; Caryophanales; Bacillaceae.
GACCGUGAGAUGGGUGAUUCGGGCCACACUGGGACUGAGACCCACGGCUCCAGACUCCUACGGGAGNGCAGCAGUAGGUGAAUCUUCCGCAAUGGACGUAAAGUCUGACGAAGCAACGCCGCGUGAGUGAUGAAGGUUUUUCGGAUCGUAAAGCUCUGGUGGUAGGGAAGAACAAGUACCGUUCGAAUAGGGCCGUACCUUGACGGUACCUAACCAGAAAGCCACGGCUAACUACGUGCCAGCAGCCGCGGUAAUACGUAGGUGGCAAGCGUUGUCCGGAAUUAUUGGGCGUAAAGGGCUCGCAGGCGGUUUCUUAAGUCUGAUGUGAAAGCCCCCNGGCUCAACCGGGGAGGGUCAUUGGAAACUGGGGAACUUGAGUGCAGAAGAGGAGAGUGGAAUUCCACGUGUAGCGGUGAAAUGCGUAGAGAUGUGGAGGAACACCAGUGGCGAAGGCGACUCUCUGGUCUGUAACUGACGCUGAGGAGCGAAAGCGUGGGGAGCGAACAGGAUUAGAUACCCUGGUAGUCCACGCCGUAAACGAUGAGUGCUAAGUGUUAGGGGGUUUCCGCCCCCUUAGUGCUGCAGCUAACGCAUUAAGCACUCCGCCUGGGGGAGUACGGUCGCAAGACUGAAACUCAAAGGAAUUGAAGGGGGCCCGGCACAAGCCGGUGGAGCAUGUGGUUUAAUUCGAAGCAACGCGAAGAACCUUACCAGGUCUGGACAUCCUCUGACAAUCCUAGAGAUAGGACGGCCCCUUCCGGGGCAGAGAUGACAGGUGGUAGCAUGGUUGUCGUCAGCUCGUGUCGUGAGAAGAUGNGGUUAANGUCAAAACCUAGCAACGACCCGCAUGACCCUUGAUCUUNUCAUGNUUGCCAGCAUNUGCUAGNGUAGCGAUACUCGANCGAGGUGGAC